Molecule: long non-coding RNA, 372 nt
Organism: Peromyscus eremicus (cactus mouse)
Lineage: Eukaryota; Metazoa; Chordata; Mammalia; Rodentia; Cricetidae
Exons: 4
Source: RefSeq, a predicted model, not a curated record
UGGGGUUGAGUCUGAUUGGGAGAAGGCAGAGAAAAUGCACAUCUCCAGAUCUAACAAGACUGGUCAGCUUGCACCAAUGCUUGUGUCCAGUCUUUUCUUGCACCUGCCAGACAUGCCUGCCAUUCAAGACCCUCGAAACUGCUGAGGCUGCUUCCUGGUAGCCUCUCUGGUGAUAUGAGUAGCAGUCCAGUCAUCCUUGUUCUACAUCUAGUAUCCUCCUAUGACAUUCAUAAAAAUAUCUACCCUUUCUUCAAUGUUCUGGCCAAAGCUUCCAGUAUACUGAGUUGCAGUGUUGAACAUGGGCAUGUUUUUCAUGCUCCACACUUUUGAGAAAAUCAUUUCAAGUAUUCCUCAUUAAACACAUCGACUGAA